GGCAGUCAGAGGCGAUGAAGGACGUGCUAAUCUGCGAAAAGCGUCGGUAAGGUGAUAUGAACCGUUAUAACCGGCGAUGUCCGAAUGGGGAAACCCAGUGCAAUUCGUUGCACUAUCGUUAACUGAAUACAUAGGUUAACGAGGCGAACCGGGGGAACUGAAACAUCUAAGUACCCCGAGGAAAAGAAAUCAACCGAGAUUCCCCCAGUAGCGGCGAGCGAACGGGGAGCAGCCCAGAGUCUGAAUCAGCUUGUGUGUUAGUGGAACGGUCUGGAAAGUCCGACGGUACAGGGUGAUAGUCCCGUACACCAAAAUGCACAGGUUGUGAACUCGAAGAGUAGGGCGGGACACGUGGUAUCCUGUCUGAAUAUGGGGGGACCAUCCUCCAAGGCUAAAUACUCCUGACUGACCGAUAGUGAACCAGUACCGUGAGGGAAAGGCGAAAAGAACCCCGGCGAGGGGAGUGAAAAAGAACCUGAAACCGUGUACGUACAAGCAGUGGGAGCACCUUCGGGUGUGACUGCGUACCUUUUGUAUAAUGGGUCAGCGACUUAUAUUCUGUAGCAAGGUUAACCGUAUAGGGGAGCCGCAGGGAAACCGAGUCUUAACUGGGCGUUAAGUUGCAGGGUAUAGACCCGAAACCCGGUGAUCUAGCCAUGGGCAGGUUGAAGGUUGGGUAACACUAACUGGAGGACCGAACCGACUAAUGUUGAAAAAUUAGCGGAUGACUUGUGGCUGGGGGUGAAAGGCCAAUCAAACCGGGAGAUAGCUGGUUCUCCCCGAAAGCUAUUUAGGUAGCGCCUCGUGAACUCAUCUUCGGGGGUAGAGCACUGUUUCGGCUAGGGGGUCAUCCCGACUUACCAACCCGAUGCAAACUACGAAUACCGAAGAAUGUUAUCACGGGAGACACACGGCGGGUGCUAACGUCCGUCGUGAAGAGGGAAACAACCCAGACCGCCAGCUAAGGUCCCAAAGUCAUGGUUAAGUGGGAAACGAUGUGGGAAGGCACAGACAGCCAGGAUGUUGGCUUAGAAGCAGCCAUCAUUUAAAGAAAGCGUAAUAGCUCACUGGUCGAGUCGGCCUGCGCGGAAGAUGUAACGGGGCUAAACCAUGCACCGAAGCUGCGGCAGCGACACUAUGUGUUGUUGGGUAGGGGAGCGUUCUGUAAGCCUGCGAAGGUGUGCUGUGAGGCAUGCUGGAGGUAUCAGAAGUGCGAAUGCUGACAUAAGUAACGAUAAAGCGGGUGAAAAGCCCGCUCGCCGGAAGACCAAGGGUUCCUGUCCAACGUUAAUCGGGGCAGGGUGAGUCGACCCCUAAGGCGAGGCCGAAAGGCGUAGUCGAUGGGAAACAGGUUAAUAUUCCUGUACUUGGUGUUACUGCGAAGGGGGGACGGAGAAGGCUAUGUUAGCCGGGCGACGGUUGUCCCGGUUUAAGCAUGUAGGCUGAUUGUCCAGGCAAAUCCGGAUAAUCAAGGCUGAGGUGUGAUGACGAGGCACUACGGUGCUGAAGUAACAAAUGCCCUGCUUCCAGGAAAAGCCUCUAAGCAUCAGGUAACAUUAAAUCGUACCCCAAACCGACACAGGUGGUCAGGUAGAGAAUACCAAGGCGCUUGAGAGAACUCGGGUGAAGGAACUAGGCAAAAUGGUGCCGUAACUUCGGGAGAAGGCACGCUGGUGUGUAGGUGAAGUCCCUGCGGAUGGAGCUGAGACCAGUCGAAGAUACCAGCUGGCUGCAACUGUUUAUUAAAAACACAGCACUGUGCAAACACGAAAGUGGACGUAUACGGUGUGACGCCUGCCCGGUGCCGGAAGGUUAAUUGAUGGGGUUAUCCGUAAGGAGAAGCUCUUGAUCGAAGCCCCGGUAAACGGCGGCCGUAACUAUAACGGUCCUAAGGUAGCGAAAUUCCUUGUCGGGUAAGUUCCGACCUGCACGAAUGGCGUAAUGAUGGCCAGGCUGUCUCCACCCGAGACUCAGUGAAAUUGAACUCGCUGUGAAGAUGCAGUGUACCCGCGGCAAGACGGAAAGACCCCGUGAACCUUUACUAUAGCUUGACACUGAACAUUGAGCCUUGAUGUGUAGGAUAGGUGGGAGGCUUUGAAGCGUGGACGCCAGUCUGCGUGGAGCCAACCUUGAAAUACCACCCUUUAAUGUUUGAUGUUCUAACGUUGGCCCCUGACCGGGGUUGCGGACAGUGUCUGGUGGGUAGUUUGACUGGGGCGGUCUCCUCCCAAAGCGUAACGGAGGAGCACGAAGGUUAGCUAAUCCUGGUCGGACAUCAGGAGGUUAGUGCAAUGGCAUAAGCUAGCUUGACUGCGAGCGUGACGGCGCGAGCAGGUGCGAAAGCAGGUCAUAGUGAUCCGGUGGUUCUGAAUGGAAGGGCCAUCGCUCAACGGAUAAAAGGUACUCCGGGGAUAACAGGCUGAUACCGCCCAAGAGUUCAUAUCGACGGCGGUGUUUGGCACCUCGAUGUCGGCUCAUCACAUCCUGGGGCUGAAGUAGGUCCCAAGGGUAUGGCUGUUCGCCAUUUAAAGUGGUACGCGAGCUGGGUUUAGAACGUCGUGAGACAGUUCGGUCCCUAUCUGCCGUGGGCGCUGGAGAAUUGAGGGGGGCUGCUCCUAGUACGAGAGGACCGGAGUGGACGCAUCACUGGUGUUCGGGUUGUCAUGCCAAUGGCACUGCCCGGUAGCUAAAUGCGGAAGAGAUAAGUGCUGAAAGCAUCUAAGCACGAAACUUGCCCCGAGAUGAGUUCUCCCUGAGACUUUAAGUCUCCUGAAGGAACGUUGAAGACGACGACGUUGAUAGGCCGGGUGUGUAAGCGCAGCGAUGCGUUGAGCUAACCGGUACUAAUGAACCGUGAGGCUUAACC
This 2866-nucleotide ribosomal RNA is filed under the name Klebsiella pneumoniae. RNAcentral's name for it is "bacterial LSU rRNA". It matches the Rfam family "Bacterial large subunit ribosomal RNA". The record is from RNAcentral. Lineage: Bacteria; Pseudomonadati; Pseudomonadota; Gammaproteobacteria; Enterobacterales; Enterobacteriaceae.